GUGGGGAAUUUUGGACAAUGGGCGCAAGCCUGAUCCAGCAAUGCCGCGUGUGUGAAGAAGGUCUUCGGAUUGUAAAGCACUUUAAGUUGGGAGGAAGGGCAUUAACCUAAUACGUUAGUGUUUUGACGUUACCGACAGAAUAAGCACCGGCUAACUUCGUGCCAGCAGCCGCGGUAAUACGAAGGGUGCAAGCGUUAAUCGGAAUUACUGGGCGUAAAGCGCGCGUAGGUGGUUCGUUAAGUUGGAUGUGAAAGCCCCGGGCUCAACCUGGGAACUGCAUCCAAAACUGGCGAGCUAGAGUACGGUAGAGGGUGGUGGAAUUUCCUGUGUAGCGGUGAAAUGCGUAGAUAUAGGAAGGAACACCAGUGGCGAAGGCGACCACCUGGACUGAUACUGACACUGAGGUGCGAAAGCGUGGGGAGCAAACAGGAUUAGAAACCCUAGUAGUCC
RNAcentral lists this ribosomal RNA (450 nucleotides) under uncultured bacterium. RNAcentral's name for it is "partial 16S ribosomal RNA". It matches the Rfam family "Bacterial small subunit ribosomal RNA", at positions 354 to 796 of the family's 1533-position model. The record is from RNAcentral.